This 114-nucleotide ribosomal RNA is filed under the name Microcebus murinus (gray mouse lemur). The record is from RNAcentral. Lineage: Eukaryota; Metazoa; Chordata; Mammalia; Primates; Cheirogaleidae.
AUCUAUGACCAUACCACCCUGAACAUGCCCAAUUUGAUCUCGGAAGCUAAGCAAGUCUGGUUAGUACUUGCAUGGGAGAUUUGGAGUUUGAAGUUUCUACUAAAGCUAUAGUCC